AUUGAACGCUGGCGGCAUGCCUUACACAUGCAAGUCGAACGGCAGCAUAGGAGCUUGCUCCUGAUGGCGAGUGGCGAACGGGUGAGUAAUAUAUCGGAACGUGCCCUAGAGUGGGGGAUAACUAGUCGAAAGACUAGCUAAUACCGCAUACGAUCUACGGAUGAAAGUGGGGGAUCGCAAGACCUCAUGCUCCUGGAGCGGCCGAUAUCUGAUUAGCUAGUUGGUGGGGUAAAAGCCUACCAAGGCGACGAUCAGUAGCUGGUCUGAGAGGACGACCAGCCACACUGGGACUGAGACACGGCCCAGACUCCUACGGGAGGCAGCAGUGGGGAAUUUUGGACAGUGGGGGCAACCCUGAUCCAGCAAUGCCGCGUGAGUGAAGAAGGCCUUCGGGUUGUAAAGCUCUUUUGUCAGGGAAGAAACGGUAGUAGCUAAUAUCUAUUACUAAUGACGGUACCUGAAGAAUAAGCACCGGCUAACUACGUGCCAGCAGCCGCGGUAAUACGCAGGGUGCAAGCGUUAAUCGGAAUUACUGGGCGUAAAGCGUGCGCAGGCGGUUGUGUAAGUCAGAUGUGAAAUCCCCGGGCUCAACCUGGGAAUUGCAUUUGAGACUGCACGGCUAGAGUGUGUCAGAGGGGGGUAGAAUUCCACGUGUAGCAGUGAAAUGCGUAGAUAUGUGGAGGAAUACCGAUGGCGAAGGCAGCCCCCUGGGAUAACACUGACGCUCAUGCACGAAAGCGUGGGGAGCAAACAGG
This 755-nucleotide ribosomal RNA is filed under the name uncultured Oxalobacteraceae bacterium. RNAcentral's name for it is "bacterial SSU rRNA". It matches the Rfam family "Bacterial small subunit ribosomal RNA", at positions 28 to 776 of the family's 1533-position model. The record is from RNAcentral. Lineage: Bacteria; Pseudomonadati; Pseudomonadota; Betaproteobacteria; Burkholderiales; Oxalobacteraceae.